Molecule: ribosomal RNA, 462 nt
Filed under: uncultured bacterium
Lineage: Bacteria
Description: partial 16S ribosomal RNA
Rfam family: Bacterial small subunit ribosomal RNA
Source: RNAcentral
CCUACGGGUGGCUGCAGUGAGGAAUAUUGGUCAAUGGACGCAAGUCUGAACCAGCCAAGUAGCGUGCAGGAUGACGGCCCUCCGGGUUGUAAACUGCUUUUAGUUGGGAAUAAAAGGGGGCUCGUGAGCCCCGUAUUGUAUGUACCAUCAGAAAAAGGACCGGCUAAUUCCGUGCCAGCAGCCGCGGUAAUACGGAAGGUCCGGGCGUUAUCCGGUUUUAUUGGGUUUAAAGGGGGCGUGGGCCGGCUUUUACGUCAGCGGUGAAAGUCCGCGGCUCCACCGGGGAAUUGCAAUUGAAACUGGAGGCCUUGAGUGCGCACAGGGAUGCCGGAAUUCAUGGUGUAGCGGUGAAAUGCUUAGAUAUCAGGAAGAACUCCGAUCGCGAAGGCAAGUGUCCGGGGUGCAACUGACGCUGAGGCUCGAAAGUGCGGGUAUCAAACAGGAUUAGAUACCCGAGUAGUC